CCAGACUUUUUUCCUUGUUGACCGUAUCCGUAGUUCUUUAGCAUCUGUCUUUCGGACAUUUACCACAUGGUUAUGCUCGAUCUGUGUUUUGACAAUAGAUCCGUGGUAAUUCUGGCUUUACACGAUUUUAUGGUACAUUAGUAAGAUAUGUAGUUAUGUUUGAGAACACUGACCUUCCGAUAUGUAUGGCCCUCGAUGAUUAAAGAAUUUACUUCUCGGUCCGUUUCAAUGUGCAAUAUGACCAUCAAGUUACAACGAAGUUCCAGAACAAUAUGAAUCAAAAUUAACUUAAACAUGGAUGAAAAACAAUUAUAACCAGAUUUUACCAAUGGUAUAGCACAGUACAUGUACAAGUUUUAACUUACCUGUAAAUCUAAUUAAGAGCAAAUAUAAAAUCGGCGCAAAUGAAAAAAUGAAAUCGGCGCAAAUGAAAGAAUGAAAAUUUUCAAAAUCGGCG
This 457-nucleotide long non-coding RNA is filed under the name Mytilus galloprovincialis (Mediterranean mussel). Lineage: Eukaryota; Metazoa; Mollusca; Bivalvia; Mytilida; Mytilidae. The record is from RNAcentral.